RNAcentral lists this ribosomal RNA (554 nucleotides) under uncultured bacterium. Its description in RNAcentral is "bacterial SSU rRNA". It matches the Rfam family "Bacterial small subunit ribosomal RNA", at positions 777 to 1328 of the family's 1533-position model. The record is from RNAcentral.
AAUAGAUACCCGGGUAGUCCACGCCGUAAACGAUGAGUGCUAAGUGUUGGGGGGUUUCCGCCCCUCAGUGCUGCAGCUAACGCAUUAAGCACUCCGCCUGGGGAGUACGGUCGCAAGACUGAAACUCAAAGGAAUUGACGGGGGCCCGCACAAGCGGUGGAGCAUGUGGUUUAAUUCGAAGCAACGCGGAGAACCUUACCAGGUCUUGACAUCCCGGUGACCACUAUGGAGACAUAGUUUCCCCUUCGGGGGCAACGGUGACAGGUGGUGCAUGGUUGUCGUCAGCUCGUGUCGUGAGAUGUUGGGUUAAGUCCCGCAACGAGCGCAACCCUUAUUCUUAGUUGCCAUUAUUCAGUUGGGCACUCUAAGGUAGACUGCCGGUGAUAAACCGGAGGAAGGUGGGGAUGACGUCAAAUCAUCAUGCCCCUUAUGACCUGGGCUACACACGUGCUACAAUGGACGGUACAAACGGUUGCCAACCCGCGAGGGGGAGCUAAUCCGAUAAAACCGUUCUCAGUUCGGAUUGUAGGCUGCAACUCGCCUACAUGAAGGCC